RNAcentral lists this ribosomal RNA (519 nucleotides) under uncultured bacterium. Its description in RNAcentral is "bacterial SSU rRNA". It matches the Rfam family "Bacterial small subunit ribosomal RNA", at positions 8 to 524 of the family's 1533-position model. The record is from RNAcentral.
AGAGUUUGAUCCUGGCUCAGAUUGAACGCUGGCGGCAUGCCUUACACAUGCAAGUCGAACGGUAACAGGUCUUCGGAUGCUGACGAGUGGCGAACGGGUGAGUAAUACAUCGGAACGUGCCCGAUCGUGGGGGAUAACGGAGCGAAAGCUUUGCUAAUACCGCAUACGAUCUACGGAUGAAAGCAGGGGACCGCAAGGCCUUGCGCGGACGGAGCGGCCGAUGGCAGAUUAGGUAGUUGGUGGGAUAAAAGCUUACCAAGCCGACGAUCUGUAGCUGGUCUGAGAGGACGACCAGCCACACUGGGACUGAGACACGGCCCAGACUCCUACGGGAGGCAGCAGUGGGGAAUUUUGGACAAUGGGCGAAAGCCUGAUCCAGCCAUGCCGCGUGCAGGAUGAAGGCCUUCGGGUUGUAAACUGCUUUUGUACGGAACGAAAAGACUCCUUCUAAUAAAGGGGGUCCAUGACGGUACCGUAAGAAUAAGCACCGGCUAACUACGUGCCAGCAGCCGCGGUAAU